GCUAAGAAUAUUCCGCAAUGGACGGAAGUCUGACGGAGCGACGCCGCGUGGAUGAAGAAGGCCGAAAGGUUGUAAAGUUCUUUUGCUAGGGGAGAAUAAGUGUGGGAGGGAAUGCCUGCACGAUGACAAGGACUAGCGAAUAAGUCCCGGCCAACUACGUGCCAGCAGCCGCGGUAACACGUAGGGGGCGAGCGUUGUUCGGAAUUACUGGGCGUAAAGGGCAUGUAGGCGGCUUGGUAAGCCUGGCGUGAAAGUCUGCAGCUUAACUGUAGGGAUGCGUUGGGAACUGCUUAGCUUGAGUUACGGAGAGGGAGCUGGAAUUCCUGGUGUAGGGGUGAAAUCUGUAGAUAUCAGGAAGAACACCGAUGGCGAAGGCAAGCUUCUGGCCGACAACUGACGCUGAGGUGCGAAAGUGUGGGGAUCAAACAGGAUUAGAAACCCCAGUAGUCC
RNAcentral lists this ribosomal RNA (450 nucleotides) under uncultured bacterium. RNAcentral's name for it is "bacterial SSU rRNA". It matches the Rfam family "Bacterial small subunit ribosomal RNA", at positions 354 to 796 of the family's 1533-position model. The record is from RNAcentral.